UGCGUAGGCGGUCCGGGAAGUUGCGUGUGAAAGCCCUCAGCUCAACUGAGGAAUUGCGCGCAAAACUGCCGGGCUGGAGGGAGACAUAGGUGAGCGGAACUUAGGGUGGAGCGGUGAAAUGCGUUGAGAUCCUAAGGAACACCAGUAGCAAAAGCGGCUCACUGGGUCUCUUCUGACGCUGAAGCACGAAAGCUAGGGGAGCGAAGAGGAUUAGAUACCCUCGUAGUCCUAGCCGUAAACGAUGAGCACCUGUUUGGAGGGUCCUCCAUAGCCUUCCAGACGUAGCGAAAGUGUUAAGUGCUCCGCCUGGGGAGUAUGGUCGCAAGGCUGAA
RNAcentral lists this ribosomal RNA (332 nucleotides) under uncultured bacterium. RNAcentral's name for it is "bacterial SSU rRNA". It matches the Rfam family "Bacterial small subunit ribosomal RNA", at positions 568 to 898 of the family's 1533-position model. The record is from RNAcentral.